UAAAGUAAAGUCUUACAGUUGAUUAAAAGUGUUAAAGGUGUAAUUAUUGGAAAGGUACAUUUAAUAAAAAUAAUUUUAUAGUGUAAAGAGUUAUUGUAUUGUAUAAAGAUGUAAUUAUUGAAGUGAUAGAGUAUAGUAUUGAGAGAGAAAGAUGAAAUAGGUGAAAAUGUAUUUUAUGAAAAGUAGAUUUAAUUUGUUUUACCUUGGGUAUCAGGGUUUAUUAAAGUUUUAUCUUGAUAAAAAAGAAUUCCCGAUUUGAAGAGAGUUAAUUUAGCUAGUUGGUUAAUGUUGAAUAAUUAUCAAUGAAGUUAAAUUGGAGAUGAAAUGUCAUGCGUUCUUCAAGGUAUCUGGUUUCUUCAGAAAUAAAUUUAAUUUAGCUAUGGGUGAGAAAAUAUUUAAAUGUUUAAAUUAUUUUUGUUCAGUAGUAAUAACUUAAGGGAUAAGCUUUAGGUUAAAUUAUUAUAAUAGGGAUUAAUGAGUGUAUGAAAUGUAGGUUUAGAAAUAGCCACCAUAAUGGAAUAGUGUUAUAAUUUAUUUAUAUGUAAGAUUAUUUCUUUAAAUUUUAAUUAUUUAUGAGGAUUUUAGGUUGAAUAAUAAGACUUAAUUAAUAAUGGUGGAAUUAGUAUAGUUGUAAUGUAUAAAAAGUGUAAAAUUGAGGGGUUACAUUAAGGAAUUAGGCAAAUUGAUGCUUGCCUGUUUAACAAAAACAUGGUUUCAUGGGAAGAAUUUGAAAUCUGGCCUGCCCACUGAAAUUAUAUUGAAGGGCCGCGGUAUUUUGACCGUGCAAAGGUAGCAUAAUCAUUAGUCUUUUAAUUGAAGGCUGGUAUGAAUGGUUGGACAAGGUAUCGACUGUCUCAAUGUGAUUAGGAUUAGAAUUUAAUUUUUAGGUUAAAAAGCUUAAAUAAUUUUAAGGGACGAGAAGACCCUAUAGAGCUUUAGAGUGUGGUAUUGAUGUAUAAUUUUUGGUUGUGAAUGUUAAAUUUAUAUUAGGCACAUUAUUUUAUUGGGGUGAUAGGAAGAUAAAAAAAACUCUUUUUGUUUAAGAAUAUAAACAUGGAUAUAUGAGUGAUUGAUCCAUUAGUAGUGAUUAUAAGAUUGAGUUACCUUAGGGAUAACAGCGUAAUCUUUUUUUAGAGUUCUUAUCGGCAAAAAGGAUUGCGACCUCGAUGUUGGAUUAAGAUAAAAUUUAGGCGCAGAAGUUUAAUGUUUUAGGUCUGUUCGACCUUUAAAUUCUUACAUGAUCUGAGUUCAGACCGGCGUAAGCCAGGUCGGUUUCUAUCUUUAAAUUAUGGAGAUGUUUUAGUACGAAAGGACCAGGCAUCUGAGAGAGUUUCUUUAAGAUUUAUAUGAUUGAAAUUAAUGU
RNAcentral lists this ribosomal RNA (1363 nucleotides) under Flavoperla sp. YW-2019. RNAcentral describes it as "16S ribosomal RNA". The stretch from base 648 to 1363 matches the Rfam family "Archaeal large subunit ribosomal RNA", at positions 1423 to 2854 of the family's 2987-position model. Lineage: Eukaryota; Metazoa; Arthropoda; Insecta; Plecoptera; Perlidae. The record is from RNAcentral.